Molecule: ribosomal RNA, 704 nt
Filed under: uncultured bacterium
Lineage: Bacteria
Description: bacterial SSU rRNA
Rfam family: Bacterial small subunit ribosomal RNA
Source: RNAcentral
CUCCUACGGGAGGCAGCAGUCGGGAAUUUUGGGCAAUGGGCGAAAGCCUGACCCAGCAACGCCGCGUGAAGGAUGAAAUCCCUCGGGAUGUAAACUUCGCAAGAACGGGAAGAAUAAGUAGGGGACAAUACCCCCUAUGAUGACGGUACCGUUUGUAAGCUCCGGCUAACUCCGUGCCAGCAGCCGCGGUAAUACGGGGGGAGCAAGCGUUGUUCGGAUUUACUGGGCGUAAAGGGCGCGUAGGCGGCCACCGCAAGUCAAUUGUGAAAUCUCCGGGCUUAACUCGGAAAGGUCAACUGAUACUGCGGGGCUAGAGUGCGGAAGGGGCAACUGGAAUUCUCGGUGUAGCGGUGAAAUGCGUAGAUAUCGAGAGGAACACCUGCGGCGAAGGCGGGUUGCUGGGCCGACACUGACGCUGAGGCGCGAAAGCCAGGGGAGCGAACGGGAUUAGAUACCCCGGUAGUCCUGGCCUUAAACGAUGAAUGCUUGGUGUCUAGGGUUAUAAAGUCCCCGGGUGCCGUCGCUAACGCUUUAAGCAUUCCGCCUGGGGAGUACGGUCGCAAGACUGAAACUCAAAGGAAUUGACGGGGACCCGCACAAGCGGUGGAGCAUGUGGUUUAAUUCGACGCAACGCGAAGAACCUUACCUGGGCUAGAAUGCCUCUGACAACUCCAGAGAUGGAGCCUUCUGGGUAAAACCAGACA